Long non-coding RNA from Gallus gallus (chicken), 2683 nucleotides. The record is from Ensembl. Lineage: Eukaryota; Metazoa; Chordata; Aves; Galliformes; Phasianidae.
GAGCAUUCAAAACGUUAGUUAAUUUUAGACCAAAAUGAUUUUUUAGCACUGAGUUUAAAUUUUCAUUAGUUCAAAGAAUGGCGAUUUAUUUGGUUCAUGUUUUCCAGAUGUGCGUGGUUGCAAAUCAAUAACCAGUCCCCUGCAAUAAAUUCUUGUGUUAAACACUUUAUAGCCAGGCUAAAGGGUACAUAAAUAAGAGGAGAGCAAACUGAUAGACUGCUAGAGAACCAGUAUUCCUGCCUUUCCUUAGAAAAGUUCAUGUACGUAUCAGCUGGCACGUAUUACAUUUGCUUACAGGGUUUUCUUCCCUCCUCCUCCUCACCGUGGAUUUGCAGUUGGCACUUGCAGAAAUCUGGAGCCAGUGUGCCUCCGUGUAACAACUCUGAGCUGCACAGAGGGGAAGGACAUUCGUGAAAGCAGCGCUGGGAAAAUUUGCCUGCUGCCUUUGCCCUCACCAGGGAUCUGUGUGGGGAGUUCAGGAUGUUAUGAGAACAGAGCCGAGCUGAAGGCCUCGCCAGCUGCAGAGAAGUGCAGCCGUGCCCGAGUGCGGCUCGGAGGUGUGCGGUGCCACCCACGACACACCCAGGAGGUUCCCACUUCUUGGAAAUGUUGUGGCACCGUGUCGUAAUGUCGAAAACCUCUCCCGGCUUUUGUAUUUUCAACUAAGAAUAAAAUAAGGUGAACCACACCUUUACUGACAACACCCAGAAAAGCUCCCAAGAAAACCCGCUGUUGGUCCCACGUGGCUCCCUUUGCACCUCAGAAGUUUUCAGCAGCCAGCCCAAUGCCUCACCUCCCUCUGUAGCACCCUUCAUGCAUUAUUAACUCUCGUCCUUUUCAAAACAUCACUGUGCACAUUCACUGCAUGUAAAUGCAGAGUUAGAUUCUUAUUUAUUUCGCGCAGUGCCACAGAGUAAAAGAGCUUUUAAAGUACAAGUAUAUGAAAUAUGAUUUUUCGGAGAACUGUUCAGUUUGUUUAUAAAUCCAGACCGAACACAGAGCUUUUUACAGUGUAGAUCAUAUAUCACAGCCAUUAUUUGCUGUUUGACCUCAUCGUUUAUUUACUCAUGUGGCACAAUAAGAGCCACGCGAAGAUCUGUCUUUUCUGUGGUUCUGCUUCUCGGGGCUUCUAAAGCUUUAUGUUUGUUUUAUGCUUUGAUUUUAACUCACGUUCCAGAAGUCACGUGUCUGAGGAAGAAACUGUUCUCCUUAGGUUUUGUUUCUGUUCUGUGUUCUCUCAUUAUUUAUUUUAAAGCUAAUCCCCAACCUUCACCAUUAAAUAGAACCUUGGGAAUGUAAAGACACAAAACCUCACAGCAAAUCUGUACCCAAUACAUCGCUUUUUGAAAAAGGAAUCCAAUGACUUCUGUGUUAAUCUCUUGGUUUGUAAUUUGCUAGUGUAUGCCAGGCACAUGCUAUGCUUUGCCUUAUGAAAGCCAUGCUGCUGUGUGAGCAAUCGAAGAAACAAGCAUCACAGCUAGAACCUGGGGGGAGGAGGUGGAUUGCUUUCCAUGAAGUCUGUGAGGUUGUUUUAACUGUGGAAAAGGGAAAGGAGGAGGCAAAAGUUAAGAAAUGGGAAUGUUGGAGAGAGGGGGGUUUGGAACCAACCUCUUUUCCUUUGCUUCAGACAAGGACCCUCCUUCAGGGCCCCACAGGCUUUGUGCAGAGGAUGCCCAGUGCCCAGCAGCAGGGAUGUGCUGAGCGGGACAGGGCAGGGCUGUCCCACCCCAGCCCCAAGGAAGGUGCUGUCACUGUGUGAGCUUCACGUAGCACACCCAGGGAACGUUCAGAUCCUCUGACAACAUCGGAAACAGCAGUAGUGCUUUGUUAUUGGAAAGAAGCAAGUGAACAAUAACAUUCAAGCUGUAAAUUAAAAGCCCACUGCAAAUGGGCUCUUAAAAGUAUUAGCAUGCAUAUUAUAAGUUAUUAAAAACAAGGCGGAAUGCUAGGCAAGAACACUCGGGUUGAAGGAGAAUUCACCACUCAGUUACACAAGAACAAUCUUGUAAAUAAGCCCACCAUGAUUUCCAUGAGUGACGUUGCAGUCAUGCUGUAUAUAUAAGCAGCUUAACCAUAAUGCUGAAAGCUGAAACAACAGCAUGCCAUUUACAACAACAAGAUGAAAACCAAAUGGAAAACAAAACAAACUUGCCUGUCUGUUCUCAGCCGUGCCCUGGAAAUGAGGUUAUGCUCUCAAAAAAUGCUGAUAAUUGCUCAGGUCUUUGUAGGACUGGGACCCUCUUUGAGUAACAUCACCAAUUGCUUUAAAAUAUUUAUCUGAGAAGCCUUCUCUGACAGAGCUCAAGCUUAAAAUGUUGUUUACAGUAACAGUUGUUCGUGCUAUUUUAUUGAUGAAUUUCUUCCCCUUUGAGUAUACACCAUGGCCUCUAUCUUUCCUCCAUUGAUUCAUUGUUUGCAAGCGUUCUACUGAUGAUUCAGACACUAGCUUCUUGUUUCAUCUGAUGUUUAGAAAUCCCUUGCUUCUUGUCGCUUGCAAUUCAUAGUUAAGCUGUAAAAUAAUUACAUCACUGUGCUUGCUCCUAACUGGAAAACUCAGCAUUUUGAAAACAGGUGUAAUCAACAGCGAUGCUCUUUUGAUUAAAACAAAUGCGUUCUUCAGAAAUAUUUUGCCUGCUAUCCCAAAGUCGUCUGACUGGUCAAAUAAAAAGAUGACUCACACGAG